Molecule: ribosomal RNA, 496 nt
Filed under: uncultured organism
Description: bacterial SSU rRNA
Rfam family: Bacterial small subunit ribosomal RNA
Source: RNAcentral
GACGAACGCUGGCGGCGUGCCUAACACAUGCAAGUCGAACGGAGUUAUGUUCAGCACUGAGCUUUCCUAGAAAGGAAGGCUGAGUGCUGGAUAUAGCUUAGUGGCGGACGGGUGAGUAACGCGUGAGCAACCUGCCUUUAAGAGGGGGAUAACAUACCGAAAGGUAUGCUAAUACCGCAUAAAAUAUGAUUGUGGCAUCACAGACAUAUCAAAGAUUUAUCGCUUAGAGAUGGGCUCGCGUCCGAUUAGAUAGUUGGUGAGGUAACGGCUCACCAAGUCAGCGAUCGGUAGCCGGACUGAGAGGUUGAACGGCCACAUUGGGACUGAGACACGGCCCAGACUCCUACGGGAGGCAGCAGUGGGGAAUAUUGCGCAAUGGGGGGAACCCUGACGCAGCAACGCCGCGUGAAGGAAGAAGGUCUUCGGAUUGUAAACUUUUGUCUUAUGGGAAGAAUAAAUGACGGUACCAUAGGAGGAAGCCACGGCUAACUACGUG